RNAcentral lists this ribosomal RNA (1103 nucleotides) under Escherichia coli. Its description in RNAcentral is "partial 23S ribosomal RNA". It matches the Rfam family "Bacterial large subunit ribosomal RNA", at positions 1 to 1136 of the family's 2925-position model. Lineage: Bacteria; Pseudomonadati; Pseudomonadota; Gammaproteobacteria; Enterobacterales; Enterobacteriaceae. The record is from RNAcentral.
GGGUUGUGAGGUUAAGCGACUAAGCGUACACGGUGGAUGCCCUGGCAGUCAGAGGCGAUGAAGGACGUGCUAAUCUGCGAUAAGCGUCGGUGAGGUGAUAUGAACCGUUAUAACCGGCGAUUUCCGAAUGGGGAAACCCAGUGUGUUUCGACACACUAUCAUUAACUGAAUCCAUAGGUUAAUGAGGCGAACCGGGGGAACUGAAACAUCUAAGUACCCCGAGGAAAAGAAAUCAACCGAGAUUCCCCCAGUAGCGGCGAGCGAACGGGGAGGAGCCCAGAGCCUGAAUCAGUGUGUGUGUUAGUGGAAGCGUCUGGAAAGGCGUGCGAUACAGGGUGACAGCCCCGUACACAAAAAUGCACAUAUUGUGAGCUCGAUGAGUAGGGCGGGACACGUGGUAUCCUGUCUGAAUAUGGGGGGACCAUCCUCCAAGGCUAAAUACUCCUGACUGACCGAUAGUGAACCAGUACCGUGAGGGAAAGGCGAAAAGAACCCCGGCGAGGGGAGUGAAAAAGAACCUGAAACCGUGUACGUACAAGCAGUGGGAGCCUCUUAAUGGGGUGACUGCGUACCUUUUGUAUAAUGGGUCAGCGACUUAUAUUCUGUAGCAAGGUUAACCGAAUAGGGGAGCCGAAGGGAAACCGAGUCUUAACUGGGCGUUAAGUUGCAGGGUAUAGACCCGAAACCCGGUGAUCUAGCCAUGGGCAGGUUGAAGGUUGGGUAACACUAACUGGAGGACCGAACCGACUAAUGUUGAAAAAUUAGCGGAUGACUUGUGGCUGGGGGUGAAAGGCCAAUCAAACCGGGAGAUAGCUGGUUCUCCCCGAAAGCUAUUUAGGUAGCGCCUCGUGAAUUCAUCUCCGGGGGUAGAGCACUGUUUCGGCAAGGGGGUCAUCCCGACUUACCAACCCGAUGCAAACUGCGAAUACCGGAGAAUGUUAUCACGGGAGACACACGGCGGGUGCUAACGUCCGUCGUGAAGAGGGAAACAACCCAGACCGCCAGCUAAGGUCCCAAAGUCAUGGUUAAGUGGGAAACGAUGUGGGAAGGCCCAGACAGCCAGGAUGUUGGCUUAGAAGCAGCCAUCAUUUAAAGAAAGCGUA